UCGAGGGGUAACAGGAGUGCUUGCACUCGCUGACGACCGGCGCACGGGUGCGUAACGCGUAUAGAACCUACCUUUUACUGAGGGAUAGCCUUUAGAAAUGAAGAUUAAUACCUCAUGGUAUUGUAAACUGGCAUCGGUUUAUAAUUAAAGAUUUAUUGGUAAAAGAUGGCUAUGCGUCUUAUUAGCUAGAUGGUAAGGUAACGGCUUACCAUGGCAACGAUAAGUAGGGGCCCUGAGAGGGGGAUCCCCCACACUGGUACUGAGACACGGACCAGACUCCUACGGGAGGCAGCAGUGAGGAAUAUUGGGCAAUGGAGGCAACUCUGACCCAGCCAUGCCGCGUGCAGGAAGACUGCCCUAUGGGUUGUAAACUGCUUUUAUACAGGAAGAAACUCUGCUACGUGUAGCAGCUUGACGGUACUGUAAGAAUAAGGACCGGCUAACUCCGUGCCAGCAGCCGCGGUAAUACGGAGGGUCCGAGCGUUAUCCGGAAUCAUUGGGUUUAAAGGGUCCGCAGGCGGUCAAUUAAGUCAGAGGUGAAAUCCCAUAGCUCAACUAUGGAACUGCCUUUGAUACUGGUUGACUUGAGUCAUAUGGAAGUAGAUAGAAUGUGUAGUGUAGCGGUGAAAUGCAUAGAUAUUACACAGAAUACCGAUUGCGAAGGCAGUCUACUACGUAUGUACUGACGCUGAGGGACGAAAGCGUGGGGAGCGAACAGGAUUAGAU
Molecule: ribosomal RNA, 726 nt
Filed under: uncultured bacterium
Lineage: Bacteria
Description: bacterial SSU rRNA
Rfam family: Bacterial small subunit ribosomal RNA
Source: RNAcentral